RNAcentral lists this ribosomal RNA (394 nucleotides) under uncultured bacterium. RNAcentral describes it as "partial 16S ribosomal RNA". It matches the Rfam family "Bacterial small subunit ribosomal RNA", at positions 523 to 918 of the family's 1533-position model. The record is from RNAcentral.
AUACGUAUGGGGCGAGCGUUAUCCGGAAUCAUUGGGCGUAAAGCGCGCGUAGGCGGCUGUCCAAGCGGGGCGUCAAAUCCCGGGGCUCAACCCCGGGCCGCGCCCCGAACUGGGCGGCUUGAGUCCGGUAGGGGGAGGCGGAAUUCCCGGUGUAGCGGUGAAAUGCGCAGAUAUCGGGAAGAACACCGGUGGCGAAGGCGGCCUCCCGGGCCGCGACUGACGCUGAGGCGCGAAAGCUGGGGGAGCGAACAGGAUUAGAUCCCCUGGUAGUCCUAGCCGUAAACGAUGGGCACUAGGUGUGGGGGAGACCGAUCCUCCGUGCCGCAGCCAACGCAUUAAGUGCCCCGCCUGGGGAGUACGGCCGCAAGGCUAAAACUCAAAUGAAUUGACGGGG